Molecule: ribosomal RNA, 430 nt
Filed under: bacterium
Lineage: Bacteria
Description: partial 16S ribosomal RNA
Rfam family: Bacterial small subunit ribosomal RNA
Source: RNAcentral
UGGGGAAUAUUGGACAAUGGGCGCAAGCCUGAUCCAGCCAUGCCGCGUGUGUGAAGAAGGCCUUUUGGUUGUAAAGCACUUUAAGCGAGGAGGAGGCUACUUGGAUUAAUACUCUAGGAUAGUGGACGUUACUCGCAGAAUAAGCACCGGCUAACUCUGUGCCAGCAGCCGCGGUAAUACAGAGGGUGCGAGCGUUAAUCGGAUUUACUGGGCGUAAAGCGUGCGUAGGCGGCUUUUUAAGUCGGAUGUGAAAUCCCUGAGCUUAACUUAGGAAUUGCAUUCGAUACUGGGAAGCUAGAGGAUGGGAGAGGAUGGUAGAAUUCCAGGUGUAGCGGUGAAAUGCGUAGAGAUCUGGAGGAAUACCGAUGGCGAAGGCAGGCAUCUGGCCUAAUACUGACGCUGAGGUACGAAAGCAUGGGGAGCAAACAGG